Molecule: non-coding RNA, 30 nt
Filed under: Mus musculus (house mouse)
Lineage: Eukaryota; Metazoa; Chordata; Mammalia; Rodentia; Muridae
Source: RNAcentral
UAUCAGAGUCACUCUCCUACCUUCCUGGUC